This 368-nucleotide unclassified non-coding RNA is filed under the name Hevea brasiliensis (rubber tree). The record is from RNAcentral. Lineage: Eukaryota; Viridiplantae; Streptophyta; Magnoliopsida; Malpighiales; Euphorbiaceae.
AUGAUAUACAAUGCACUAUGUAUUACCAAAUCCACUAGUGUAUUCUCUGGAUGAUUUAGUAUAAAUAGCAAUUGAAAAUUAGAAAUACUAAACGAUGCUAAUCAUAAUCAUCCAGGAAAUAUAGGAUGUAAUGCACAAGAUACCAAACCAAUAGACAAACUAAAGCAUGUAGGCAUAACAAUCACCGACCCCCGAUUUGCCAUAUAUUACAGAAUCUUAUCUACAUUAACAGAAAGCACCACUACCACAGACCUCAUCUGAAAUGAUCAACAACUUGACGAACCACCUAUGAGUGGUCGCCCAACAGAGCACCUUGCAAGCUUUUGACAGCAUUAUCGUAGUUAACAAAACCCAUAAACCAAAACUCA